AGGUGUGGAGAAAUUGGUAAACUCAGUGGACUCUAAAUCCACCGUCAUUGACUUGUGGGUUCAAAUCCCACCACCUGC
Molecule: transfer RNA, 78 nt
Filed under: Powellomyces hirtus
Lineage: Eukaryota; Fungi; Chytridiomycota; Chytridiomycetes; Spizellomycetales; Powellomycetaceae
Description: tRNA-Leu
Rfam family: tRNA
About the family: Transfer RNA (tRNA) molecules are approximately 80 nucleotides in length. Their secondary structure includes four short double-helical elements and three loops (D, anti-codon, and T loops).
Source: RNAcentral